Molecule: long non-coding RNA, 1115 nt
Organism: Microtus oregoni (creeping vole)
Lineage: Eukaryota; Metazoa; Chordata; Mammalia; Rodentia; Cricetidae
Exons: 3
Source: RefSeq, a predicted model, not a curated record
UGGUGGAGCUAGCUGUGGCAGGCAGCUGUUCACCCCCUUUACCACCUCCGUGUAAUUUAGCAGGGUUGGCGGGCGGGAGGUGGGGGAGAGAUCAGGCGCCUGAAGACAGGAUGGGCUGGGGAGCUCCCUUGAUAGUGUUGACAGUGAGAAGGAUGAAUGGAGGAAUGGCGAUCUCUAACCCCUUCUCACCCCAUUCUGAGCUGACCUAAGGGCACCUCUCACCCACAUGUUGGUGAGGCAAGGGAAGGACCCACGGACAUGAAGAGACCAAGAUAUCUCCAUCUCAAGAGGCCUGCUCCCAUCCUCACUUCUCAAGAUACCUAGCUGACCACCAGCACCCUUAACGCACAGGACCAACCAACCUCUACCAGGAUUGCACCUCCCCUGACCUGCAGCCUGAGAGAUCUCAUACCCAUCUGGCUACAGCUUUUGAUGUCCAGCACACCUGGAUGCACAGUACUGUCUGUGUGCAAUGGUGGAAGGUUUAAGCACCUGUGUAUCAGGGCUGACCAACAAAAGUUAAACUAUCUGAAGAUAUCCAGAGUAGACAGGAGCCCAGCUGGCCUUAUUGUGAAGUAUUAUUUCAACUCUGUAAAGAUGUGUUACAUUUGUUUAUGCUUCAGAAUUUAACUGUAAAGCUGCCACUGAAUGAAGAGCCUUGCUCCACCACAGGCUCCCUCCCACGAGGUUCUGACAGGUUCGGAAACAACAGGACCAGGUGACCGUGGACUGAACUGUUGGAAGCCCUAGCUUAGGUAUUUUCUGCUAGUGUCAGAAAGCUGAGUAAGUUCGCAGGAAAGAGGUCUUCCCACAAUGCUCCCCAAGUCUAGUGGGGUCAAGCGGUUAUGAGCAAAAUGCACAGAGGACCUGGCCUCAGAGAACUGACCCUGGCCAAGCACUGUGGCAGCCCCGCCUGAGAAAUCUUAAAAGGCAGACCUGAAAGGACCAGCAUGCUUCCAAAUGAUGCGACUGCCCCAGAAUAGAACUCAAGAACACAGAGCUGGUUGUGUGGCACACGCAUUGGAUUCCCAACACAGAAAUGGGGGUGGGGUGGUCUGGCAGCUCAAGACCAGCCUGGUCUACAUAUCAAGUUCCAGGCCAACUGAAGUGGUUUG